UGGGGAAUAUUGCACAAUGGGCGAAAGCCUGAUGCAGCAACGCCGCGUGAGUGAUGAAGGCCUUCGGGUUGUAAAGCUCUGUCUUUUGGGACGAUAAUGACGGUACCAAAGGAGGAAGCCACGGCUAACUACGUGCCAGCAGCCGCGGUAAUACGUAGGUGGCAAGCGUUGUCCGGAUUUACUGGGCGUAAAGGAUGCGUAGGCGGAUUUUUAAGUGAGAUGUGAAAUACCCGGGCUUAACUUGGGUGCUGCAUUUCAAACUGGGAAUCUAGAGUGCGGGAGAGGAGAAUGGAAUUCCUAGUGUAGCGGUGAAAUGCAUAGAGAUUAGGAAGAACACCAGUGGCGAAGGCGAUUCUCUGGACCGUAACUGACGCUGAGGCAUGAAAGCGUGGGUAGCAAACAGGAUUAGAUACCCUGGUAGUCCACGCCGUAAACGAUGAGUACUAGGUGUAGGAGGUAUCGACCCCUUCUGUGCCGCAGUUAACACAAUAAGUACUCCGCCUGGGAAGUACGAUCGCAAGAUUAAAACUUAAAUGAAUUGACGGGGUCAUAGCUG
Molecule: ribosomal RNA, 556 nt
Filed under: uncultured bacterium
Lineage: Bacteria
Description: partial 16S ribosomal RNA
Rfam family: Bacterial small subunit ribosomal RNA
Source: RNAcentral